CUGCUCACAUGGGCAGCACAUAUGCUAAAAUUGGAACGAUACAGAGAAGUUUAGCAUGGCCCCUGUGCAAGGAUGACACACACAUUUGUGAAGAUAUCUUUUAU
This is a small nuclear RNA of Zalophus californianus (California sea lion), 104 nucleotides long. Lineage: Eukaryota; Metazoa; Chordata; Mammalia; Carnivora; Otariidae. The record is from Ensembl.